AUUGAACGCUGGCGGCAGGCCUAACACAUGCAAGUCGAGCGGAGCGGCGGACGGGUGAGUAAUUCAUGGGAAUAUGCCUGGUCGUGAGGGAUGACAUACGGACACGGGCGCUAAGACAGAACCCUAUCAGAUGAGCCUAGGUCGGAUUGGAUAGUUGGGGGGGUAAGGGCCUACCAAGGCGACGAUCCGUCGCUGGUCUGAGAGGAUGAUAAGUCACACUGGAACUGAGACACGGUCCAGACUCCUACGGGAGGCAGCAGUGGGUAAUAUUGGACAAUGGGCGCAAGCCUGAUGCAGCCAUGCCGCGUGUGUGAAGAAGGUCUUCGGGUUGUAAAGUACUUUCAGUUGGGAGGCGUUACCCACAGAAGAAGCACCGGCUAACUCCGUGCCAGCAGCCGCGGUAAUAC
This 407-nucleotide ribosomal RNA is filed under the name uncultured bacterium. RNAcentral's name for it is "partial 16S ribosomal RNA". It matches the Rfam family "Bacterial small subunit ribosomal RNA", at positions 30 to 526 of the family's 1533-position model. The record is from RNAcentral.